GAUUUAUAAAUAUAUGUUAUAUAAUUUAAUGUUAUUGUUGAACGCAUAUUCUCUUGUUAUUCGAAUUCAUGGCUUACUGUCCAGGGAUGUCAGGUUCACAGAUUAAUCUGUGUUUCACAGAUUUUGAGUUUUCUGCACAGAUUUUGAAACUGACACAGAUUUCCGAAAACGAUCACAGAUUCUUGCAUAAAUCACUGAUUUUCACAGAUUUUGGAUAUCGAGUAUUGUUUAGCACCAAAAAGUACAGAGCGUGGUGGUAGUGAGACCUUUUUUUUAUUUUUUGGUCGCCAAAUUUGUUUUUGAACUGCUAUAUAGGGGUACGGAAAAAGGUCACAGAUUUUCACAGACAGGUUUUGGGUUUUAUCGCAGAUUUUUGAAAAAAUGACCGUCUGGCAUCUCUGUUACUGUCAACUCAUUACCACGACCGGAGUCGUCCGCUGCGCAAGUCUUUUAAAAUACGGAAACAAGCAAAGUCGAGUACCCCGAAAAACGUCCACGCUGUAGGCGUACACUGGGUAACGAUUUGAAUUGACCAGGUUUGUCGGCGCCGGAGUUAAUUGUUUAAAAGACGAGGUCAUGCACACUCACGGUGUAACGUAGUUUUUCGAUAUUUAAAUAAAUUUUUAUUUGUUCUUCAAUAUAAAACAUGUUAGAAUAAAAGGUCUUUUAAUGUAAACAGA
This is a long non-coding RNA of Malaya genurostris, 680 nucleotides long. RefSeq lists it as uncharacterized. The transcript has 2 exons. The record is from RefSeq and is a predicted model, not a curated record. Lineage: Eukaryota; Metazoa; Arthropoda; Insecta; Diptera; Culicidae.